UACAGAGGUCUCAAGCGUUGUUCGGAUUCAUUGGGCGUAAAGGGUGCGUAGGCGGCGCGGUAAGUCGGGUGUGAAAUCUCGGGGCUUAACUCCGAAACUGCAUUCGAUACUGCCGUGCUUGAGGACUGGAGAGGAGAAUGGAAUUCCCGGUGUAGCGGUGAAAUGCGCAGAUAUCGGGAAGAACACCCGUGGCGAAGGCGGUUCUCUGGGACGGUACUGACGCUGAGACGCGAAAGCGUGGGGAGCGAACAGG
RNAcentral lists this ribosomal RNA (253 nucleotides) under uncultured bacterium. RNAcentral describes it as "partial 16S ribosomal RNA". It matches the Rfam family "Bacterial small subunit ribosomal RNA", at positions 524 to 776 of the family's 1533-position model. The record is from RNAcentral.